RNAcentral lists this ribosomal RNA (470 nucleotides) under uncultured bacterium. Its description in RNAcentral is "partial 16S ribosomal RNA". It matches the Rfam family "Bacterial small subunit ribosomal RNA", at positions 28 to 507 of the family's 1533-position model. The record is from RNAcentral.
GACGAGCGCUGGCGGCGUCUUAACACAUGCAAGUCGAACGAUGAAGCCUAGCUUGCUAGGUGGAUUAGUGGCGAACGGGUGAGUAAUACGUGAGUGACCUACCUUUGACUCUGGGAUAAGCCUGGGAAACUGGGUCUAAUACCGGAUACGACCAAUCUCCGCAUGGGGUGUUGGUGGAAAGCGUUAUGGAGUGGUUUUAGAUGGGCUCACGGCCUAUCAGCUUGUUGGUGAGGUAAUGGCUUACCAAGGCGACGACGGGUAGCCGGCCUGAGAGGGUGACCGGCCACACUGGGACUGAGACACGGCCCAGACUCCUACGGGAGGCAGCAGUGGGGAAUAUUGCACAAUGGGCGCAAGCCUGAUGCAGCGACGCCGCGUGAGGGAUGACGGCCUUCGGGUUGUAAACCUCUGUUAGCAUCGAAGAAGUGAAAGUGACGGUAGGUGCAGAGAAAGCGCCGGCUAACUACGUG